This is an RNA transcript of Capra hircus (goat), 3315 nucleotides long. It is a transcript of the gene named zinc finger protein 304-like, with no coding region annotated. Lineage: Eukaryota; Metazoa; Chordata; Mammalia; Artiodactyla; Bovidae. The transcript is spliced from 4 exons. The record is from RefSeq and is a predicted model, not a curated record.
CUUCUUCUGGCUUAGGAGGGGAUCCGCCCAUGUUGAAUAACCUGCAGCUGAGAACUGAGGGUCACAGUGUUGUCACAGGUCACCAUGGAAAUAGGGGCGCGUUGCCUUUACCAGGAGGUCUGGCGCUUCAGAACAUAGUUUCUCCCUGACCUUUCUGCCUCCAUCCGCCUCUGCAACUAUCAGGGAGAACCAGAAACCUGCCCUUUGCCUGGGUGGAUUGGGUGCACAAACUCCUUUACCCAGAGGUCUCUGCCCAGCGCAUGCGCGCUGUGCCAGUGGCCGCCCAGAAGAUGGGCGUUUCCGGAGGCCCUUGCAAGCAGAGGUGGGAUUUCUGGCGUCACGGUUGUGACGUCUUUUGCUGGUGCCCCGGAUUCUGGAGUGCCUGUGUAGGCUGGGAGUCCUCACUGGGGUCCGCUUUUGGGGAGGCUCUGGAGAGGCCAACAGAGGACAGAAAAAAAGAUGGGACGUCUGUCCGCUUGGUUAUUACGAAACGGUUGCUGUCGUGGGACGGGCCGCCUAUCGUGAAGCUGUCGCCUGAGGCUGCGCUCCUUCGGAGGCCUUCGCAACCACCCUCUGUCCUCGUCCGCUUCCGGGGGCAGCAUCCUAAGCUUCUGCGCCUUUUGACCAGGAGGAGACUGGGGCUCAGAGCUCGACCGUCCUCUCGGGCUCACCACACCCAGGGGAGGGCGCGGGUUCCGCCGGCUUUUCAGCCCGGUUCUGCUCAUAGGACCCCAUGGCGGCUGCCGCGCUUAUGGACCGGGCUCAGGGUGGUGUGACCUUCAAGGAUGUGUUCGUGUACUUCUCCCGGGAGGAGUGGGAGCUGCUGGAAGAAGCUAGAGACUCCUGUACUGUGAUGUGAUGAUGGAGAACUUCAGACAUGUGGCUGCCUUGGAAAUGGGUCAGUCAGUGCAGCCUCUGUUCAAGGGAAGUGGCUCGUGCAAGGGCGAGAACACCAGGUGCCUACUGUUUGGAAAUUUGUCCAAGGAGAAAUCCACUCUUAUUCAUCACAGAAAACUUCGUGGUGGGGAAACAUCACAUGUGUGUAAGGAGUGUGGAGAGGCCUUCAUUCACCUGUCUCACCUAAAAACCCACCACAGAUUUCACCCUGGCAAAAGACAGCAUAUGUUCAGUGAAUGUGGAGAAGCUUACAACAGAAGCGUGCACCUUGUUCAGAACCAGAGAACUCACACCGGAGAAAGACCUUAGGCGUGCAGUGAAUGCAGAAAAGCCUUUAGUCGUAAAAGCACCCUUGUUCAGCACCAGAGUGUUCACACUGUUGAAAGGUCUUAUGACUGCACUGAAUGUGGAAAAGCCUACAGCAGAAGCUCCCACCUUGUGCAGCACCAGAGAAUUCACACUGGGGCAAGGCCUUAUGAUGCAUUGAAUGUGGAAAUUUCUUCAGCCGUAACUCCAGCCCCAUUAAACGUAGGAGAGUCCACACAGGAGCAAAGUCUUACAUGUGCGGCAAAUGUGGGAAGGCUUUUGGCUACAAAGACACACUUGAGCAGCACCAGAUAAUGCACACUGGAGCACGGCCUUAGGAGUGCAGUGAGUGUGGGAGGGCCUGCAGCAGUAAACACAUGCUUGUGCAGCACUGGAAAAUCCACACUGGAGAAAGGCCUUAUGAGUGCAAUGACUGUGGAAAACUCUUUGGCCAUAGCUCCAACCUCAUUGUGCACCAGAGAAUUCACACUGGAGCAAAGCCUUAUGAAUGCAGUGAAUGUGGGAAAUGCUUUAGCCACAACUCCAUCCUCAUUCUACAAAAGACACGUCACAGUAGAACAAGGCCUUAUGUGCGUAGUGAAUGAAGAAAAGCUUACAUUAGUAGCCCCCACCUUGUUCAACACAAGAAAGUUCACACUGGAGCAAGACCUUAUGAGUGCAAUGAAUGCAGGAAAUUCUUUAGCUGCAACUCUAGCCUCAUUCUACACCAAAGGGUUCACACUGGAGAAAAGGCCUUACUUGUGCAGUGAAUGUGGGAAGGCCUAUAGCAGAAGCUCCCAACUUGUUCGGCACCAGAAAGCUCACCCUGGAGAAGGACCUCAUGAAUGCAACAGUUUUGGUGACCCUUUAGCUGCGUCUCUUAAACUUGUUUAAUGCCCAGAAACUUCAGCUGGAGAAAGGCCUUAUAAAUGCAGUCAAUGCACUGUGUCCCUUUUGAAGAUUAUAGAACUCACACUGGCAAAGGUGGGAAUCAUCGUUGGUACAGAGACACUGAGAUAAUGGAGUGGGGAUGACUGAGGCUCAUGAGAGGAUGGAUAUCUGUUCUUAAGGCAGCAUCUCUAUAUGUCCCUGCGAUUUUGGCUCUAUGGCAUGAAAGUAUACAGAAAUUCUCAGGACCUUCACACUUCUGAGUCUCCUGUGGCCACCACACUGUCUCAGUAAAUAAAGGUCUGUGGAUUCCUGUACCUCCCUAGGCUGUUUACAUUCUCGCCAUCACUACACAGGCAGGAACCCCAGCAGUGACAGAAGAGAGAUCAGGGCUCGGGCUUCUCUGACCAGCCAGCAUUCCUAGUGACUGAGGUGGACAUGGCCUUCAUCACUCUGCAGUUUUUGCUGAUCCUGAGGCAGGGCUUAUGCUCCUAAGUCAUGUGGAGAGGGAUAUGGUAGAACCAGAACAGUUGGCAGAUGGGGCUUUCCAAGAAGAAUGGUAAAUAUGGAUAUUUAUGGCGAAUAUUUAGUUCUUAACAUCUUUAUUGAGGUAUGGUACCAUGAAAUACAUAUAUGUAAAAUAUAAAAUGUGUUGUUUCAGCAUGUGUAUAUACUGAUGAGACCAGACAUUGAGAUAAUGGAGAUAUCCAACACAGCCAAGAUUCCUUGUGUCUCUUUAUAAUGUUUCUUGCCCAGUCCUUUCUAAGCCCCUUUCCCACAAUUCACAAGUAAUAGCAAGCAUUUUAUAGUAUUUUAUAUAAACAAAAUCAUUUGAUAUAUAUUUUCUGGGGAGUGGGAACUCUGACUUUUUUCACCAGCCAUAACUAUUUUGAGAUUGAUCCAUUUGCCUCAUGCAUCUAUUAUUCAUUUGUAUUGCUGAGUAUUCAUCCAUUGUAUGGAUAUACCACAAUUGUCUUUUAUCCAUUUGCCUGUUAGUGGAUAUUUUGGUUGUUUCCAGUUUUGUGCUGUCACAGAUAAAACUGCUGUGACGAUUUGUGUAUAAACUAUUACUGAAUCACCUUCCAUUGUAUGGUUGUACCAUAGUUUAUCCAUUCACUGAGGGGUAUCUUGGUUGCUUCCAAGUUUUGGCACUAUGACUAAACCUGCAUUAUGCAGUGUUUUGUGUGGGUAUACUGCCGGAGUCCAGCUCCAGCAGCCAGGGAA